GUGCUUCAACAUGUAACGCAUGUACUAAACUGGGACCAAUACAGAGAAGAUGAGCAUGGCCACUCUCAAGAAGGACGACAGUCACAAUCAUGAAGCCUCCUCACCCUUU
Anarrhichthys ocellatus (wolf-eel) is the source of this 109-nucleotide small nuclear RNA. The record is from RefSeq and is a predicted model, not a curated record. NCBI's taxonomy places the organism in Eukaryota, Metazoa, Chordata, Actinopteri, Perciformes, Anarhichadidae.